Molecule: long non-coding RNA, 3197 nt
Filed under: Volvox carteri
Lineage: Eukaryota; Viridiplantae; Chlorophyta; Chlorophyceae; Chlamydomonadales; Volvocaceae
Description: long non-coding RNA (VCAR_LNC003605)
Source: RNAcentral
CGCUUGAGAACGCUGCAAGAAUACUUGAGAAUGCUGUGAGAACGCUUGAGAAUGUUGUAAGAACACUUGAGAAUGCUGUGAGAACGCUAUAAGAACGCUGUAAGAAUGCUUGAGAAUGCUGUAAGAACGCUUAAGAAUGGUGAGAGAACGGUGUAAGAACGCUGUAAGAACGCUUAAGAAUGGUGAGAGAACGCUGUAAGAACGCUUGAGAACGCUGUAAGAACGCUUAAGAAUGGUGAGAGAACGCUGUAAGAACGCUUGAGAACACUGUAAGAACGCUUAAGAAUGGUGAGAGAACGGUGUAAGAACGCUUGAGAACGCUUUAAGAACGCUUAAGAUUGGUGAGAGAACGGUGUAAGAACGCUUAAGAGUGGUGAAAGAUUGCUUAAGAAUGCGUGAGAAAAUGGUUUGAGAAUGUCCUUGAGAACGGGUAAGAUCGCUGAGAACGCUUAAGAUUCCCUGCAAAGAGCGCUCUCUUGAGAUCGCUUAAGAACGCUUGAGAAGGCACAAUCUUAAAACAUGGCAGAUAAGAGCGUUCUCAGAACGCUCUUAACAGCGGCAUCUACUUGUGCUUUAUAUGGCUUAAGAUCGCGUUGAGAGCGCUCUUAAAGCGGUUUCAUUUUGGUAGGGGUAGGGUCGGGCUGGAGCCAACUAUAGCACAGCCAGAGACUCUUGAUCCUGAGUAAGGUAAUUAUUACAAAGACGAUAACACUUGUUAGUUUGAUGCUGCAAUGAGUGGCAAAGCACAAUGAGACAGGUACAGAUCCUGCCUGUGGGUCGCCGCUGUACUGCCAAGAGAUUGGCUGGCGCUAAUGAAAGGCACCAACGGCAAAUAUAUUUGAGGUGGAACCAUUCUGUUUAUUCAUGCAAGCAGCUAACCGCGGUCUAUGUGAGCGAGGUAGUUCGACUGUGCAAGCAUGGCAGUCCAGCAGCCAAGCUGGCUAAGUCGUAUUCAUUUCUUUAACUUUAUGUCCGUGUAUAUUUUGCAUUUUUGUGUUAUGUUGGGUUCAUUGUUCAUUUCUUCUCUUCCGUCAGCGGUUGCUCCAGAUCCGUGGUCAAGGUUGGAUAUUACUUGUGCUGGGCUAAAUAGCAUCAAGUUCAAAUCCUUUCCAGACUGCUUAUGCACGGCAUACUGUCAUUGCUACCGCUCAUUAUUGCGCUCGCCAAUGAUCGGCCCAAAAAUUAUAAUAGUCGUAGAAAUAGUUCUUUGUUCUUUCUGAAAAGCUGUAACUCUUAGGUGAAAAAUGAUUCUUCCUUUCUUUCUAACUCUAAAAAGGUAACCUCUUAGGUAAAAAAUGAUACUGCCAUACAGUCUCUAUAGGGAAGAAGGCCAAUGAUGCCGUACAGUCCCUAUAGGGAAGAAGGCCAAUGAUGCCGUACAGUCUCUAUAGGGCCCUCAAGUCGUAAAGCCUAAAGGGAAUUCUAUCCGUCGCUGUCUCUACAUGCUAAGCGGAAUCUGCAGCAAUUUUUCUUUGAAGUAUAUGACAGCAAGUUUAAGCAUAUUGAUUUUUAGCCUUGUAGCGUGCUUGAUGCUGUGUGGUUAAAGCACUGUGUUCCGCGUCAGCGUCCAUUUUGCCUGCCAAAAGUGGUGAACCACUUAAUCAAAUGCAAAUUUACAAUGCCAUAAAAACGAAAAUGUAGGUAGUGCUGUUACGCACUUUUCGGCGGCGGCAAGAUUUCGCACGGCAUCAUCGCACGACCGAUCUGCGUCGCUGUUCAGCCAGUAUUUAACCCAGUACAUAAAUAGCAAACACUCAGUUUUACAUAUGACUUCUUCUUUUCACAAUUUGUAAGGUUAGUUUGGCUUCUUUUCCUUCGCCGUUAUCGUUGUGAUAGACUGAUCCUUGAGUUAAUACAUUCAUUAAAGCCUUGGACUGCUAGUGAAUAUAAAGCUAAUAAAUGCUGUCAUUGUCGGUACAAUCGCUGACACCAAACACACACAAUUUACUUUGAUUAAUCGCAUGACAUAACAAUGGAGGCGAAACAUACACGCCCCCCUCCCCCAACCAGCCCCAGCCACCCUCCAUAGCAUCAGGAACAAGAAAGAGGGCAACAGGUAACGAUUCCACAACGAAACACACAACCGUGGCACAGAUGUGGCCCACCACUACCUGCCUACAUCAAACAAAUCUGCCGUACUCCGAUAGCCAUAUCAGAGUACGACAGCGUUUUGAUGCCCCACGUAAAACACAUAAGAGCCCCGACCCUCGCCCCCAUCUUACCUCCAUUCCCGGCUGGACGUCGGCCCCAUCUUCCGAGGCCUGCUGCACGUGCAGCACAUGGAUGGGAACAUGACAAUUAGCAUCAGGAACAAGAAAGAGGGCAACGGGUAACGAAUACACAACGAAACACACAAACGUGGCACAGAUGUGGCCCACCACUACCUGCCUACAUCAAACAAAUCUGCCGUACUCCGAUAGCCAUAUCGUAGUACGACAGCGUCUUGAUGCCCCACGUAAAACACAUAAGAGCCCCGACCCUCGCCCCCAUCUUACCUCCAUUCCCGGUUGGACGUUGGCCCCAUCUUCCGAGGCCUGCUGCACGUGCAGCACAUGGAUGGGAACAUGACAAUUAGGGCAGGCACGUCAAUGGCGGAGGCGAAACAUACACGCCCCCCUCCCCCAACCAGCCCCAGCCACCCUCCAUAGCAUCAGGAACAAGAAAGAGGGCAACAGGUAACGAUUCCACAACGAAACACACAACCGUGGCACAGAUGUGGCCCACCACUACCUGCCUACAUCAAACAAAUCUGCCGUACUCCGAUAGCCAUAUCAGAGUACGACAGCGUUUUGAUGCCCCACGUAAAACACAUAAGAGCCCCGACCCUCGCCCCCAUCUUACCUCCAUUCCCGGCUGGACGUCGGCCCCAUCUUCCGAGGCCUGCUGCACGUGCAGCACAUGGAUGGGAACAUGACAAUUAGCAUCAGGAACAAGAAAGAGGGCAACGGGUAACGAAUACACAACGAAACACACAAACGUGGCACAGAUGUGGCCCACCACUACCUGCCUACAUCAAACAAAUCUGCCGUACUCCGAUAGCCAUAUCGUAGUACGACAGCGUCUUGAUGCCCCACGUAAAACACAUAAGAGCCCCGACCCUCGCCCCCAUCUUACCUCCAUUCCCGGUUGGACGUUGGCCCCAUCUUCCGAGGCCUGCUGCACGUGCAGCACAUGGAUGGGAACAUGACAAUUAGGGC